RNAcentral lists this ribosomal RNA (252 nucleotides) under uncultured Bacteroidales bacterium. RNAcentral describes it as "partial 16S ribosomal RNA". It matches the Rfam family "Bacterial small subunit ribosomal RNA", at positions 524 to 776 of the family's 1533-position model. Lineage: Bacteria; Pseudomonadati; Bacteroidota; Bacteroidia; Bacteroidales. The record is from RNAcentral.
UACGGGGGAUCCGAGCGUUAUCCGGAUUUAUUGGGUUUAAAGGGUGCGUAGGCGGUCCGUUAAGUCAGCGGUAAAAUUGCGGGGCUCAACCCCAUCCAGCCGUUGAAACUGGGGAUCUAGAGUGUGCGAGAGGUAUGCGGAAUGCGUGGUGUAGCGGUGAAAUGCAUAGAUAUCACGCAGAACCCCGAUUGCGAAGGCAGCAUACCGGCGCCCGACUGACGCUGAAGCACGAAAGCGUGGGUAUCGAACAGG